UAGGUCUUUGGAGGAAGUAUAGACUCCAAAU
RNAcentral lists this non-coding RNA (31 nucleotides) under Mus musculus (house mouse). The record is from RNAcentral. Lineage: Eukaryota; Metazoa; Chordata; Mammalia; Rodentia; Muridae.